RNAcentral lists this ribosomal RNA (253 nucleotides) under uncultured bacterium. RNAcentral's name for it is "partial 16S ribosomal RNA". It matches the Rfam family "Bacterial small subunit ribosomal RNA", at positions 524 to 776 of the family's 1533-position model. The record is from RNAcentral.
UACGUAGGGGGCUAGCGUUGUCCGGAUUUAUUUGGCGUAAAGAGCGUGUAGGCGGCCAGGUAGGUCUGGUGUGAAAACUCGAGGCUUAACCUCGAGAUGUCAUCGGAAACCAUCUGGCUAGAGUCCGGAAGAGGAGAGUGGAAUUCCUGGUGUAGCGGUGAAAUGCGCAGAUAUCAGGAAGAACACCAAUGGCGAAAGCAGCUCUCUGGGACGGUACUGACGCUGAGACGCGAAAGCGUGGGGAGCGAACAGG